UUUCUAAAUCCAGGGACUGUCCCUGGAAAACUGGGACGUCUGGUAACCUUACUAUACCUGCACCAUGUGGUGGUGGGUUGCCACAUGACUGAAUAUGCUUUACAAAUGUUUUCCUUGCAUGUCUUACAGGCAUGAAUGAGGUUCCAAUCUAUGAGACGUCAGGCUGGAAUGUAGCCUACUGCUCAAAGUUAAGAGUCACCAUCGUUGCUUCACCUCUAUCCCACCCCAUCUUUGCAUCUGGCCCAGCCCACCACAGGUAUACGGCCCCCAGCAAAUUGCCUGUGAGUGCAUGGGGCUUUGGGCUAAAAAGAAAUGUACCCCACCCCUGCCCUAAACCAGCAGUUUUCUAAUUGCAGUCCUACAACCUGAUCUUAAAUUCAUUACACCGAAGUAAGAUGCACUGCAUUGAUGGUGGUGAUAAUGAAGCACUGCAUACAUACAGUCCUAAAUAACGUCUAACUUUGUUUUAAGCUUUGAAAACACGGACCCACUGAGUUCCCUUUUCAUAGAGUCAUUUAUUUAUUUUUUCUUAGCUACAAACACUUCAAACCAGCAUCUUCCAACUUCUUUGCUGGAGAUGUGAUAUUAAAAUGCUGAUGAGCCAGCUGCAGAUCCCUUUUCUCCUAAAAAUGCAAACUUUCCUUUUGGAGUCUUAAAAAAAAAUAUUCAAAUUGCAAGAGGGCCAGCCAGCUGUUGCUCAGCAUGACCUCCUUUAUUAGUCAAAGCGCUUCGUCCCACUUAAUGUGUUCAGCAUGGCAGACUGUCUUAUGUGGCAACUUUGACAGGGGGAUCAUUACGCAACAAUCUGCUUGCCUAACAAAAAAACUGUGAGUAAACUGACAUUAAAAUGAUUUGCUAAAGUCCAGAUUCACAAAGGGGCAGUCAACCCUCGCCAUUUAUUGUGAUAUUUGGCGUCACUCUGAAAACCUCAGUUCCCGGAGUCAUCAUGACUAACCCAAUUUCAUUUAAAAGAAAAAAAGAAAAGGGCUUCUGAGCCAUUAUGGUUGUAAAGAAAGUAGGAAAAAUACAACUGAAGGGUAACAAGCCACAAAACAAAUAAAACAAAUCUUACAUUUUACUAUCUUAAUGAGGAACUCAUUUUUAUACCAGUCCUUGCUGUUUGCUUACUUAAUACUGGCGACGCAAGGCGGCCAGGAUUCAGAGAAAGGUCAUGCUCGUUCACAGGAGAACCCUCCACUCUGCAGAAAAGGGAAAAACUGCUUUUAAAACUGAACCAUGCCUUCUCUUCCAUGGUAGCCAGAGCUCUGCUUGCUCUGAGAGAAAAACAGCCCAUGUGCACACAUGUAACUCGUCUGGAUCCGAUACCAGACCAAUGAAGAGUUUCUGGUUAACCAGUAGGAUUGCAUUUCAAAUACGCACAAAAGUAAGUUGGAGAAUUUGCAGAUUUUCAGUUCUACAACGUACUACACAAUAGUUUUCCCAGCCCACUUACAUGUCCAUUUAAGCCUGCUUGAUCUCUUCAAACCACACAACACCUUUAUGGAUCAUCCACAAUUUCCCUUGACCUGUAUUUUUAUCAUAUUGUGUACCAAUUAAUUCUCCCUUUUCUCAUUGUUCUCAUUGUUCCACAGCUGCACCUUGCAAAAAUCUGAUCUUGCCCAUGGAAUUGAAGCUUGGGAAGCAAAAUACCCAUUUGGAUUUUCUACGCAUCUGAUAAAUUCCCAUUCAGCAGGUAAGAUUGGAACAACGAGAGAAAAACUUAGAUCCGGGAGAAUUAAUCAUUACAUGCUACAAUCAAGUUACAGGUCAGGUGAAAGUGUGGACAAGCCCUUCGUGAGCAUCCAAUGAACUACAAAGCGGAAGAGGAGCAUUGCAUGGGUCUGUGAACUUGUUCUGCCUCAGUGCAUUGGGAAUGCCAAAUUGUAGUUUCCUCUUUGAGAUUAUUAUAAAUACUUUCAAAGUACAGUGUGGGAGUGUGGCUGACAUGCAAAAACUUCUGUCAACAGAGUGAAGGAAGAAACCCAUACAGACAAAGGGCCAGGAUCAGCCUUCUGGGAAUGGGAGAAAUCUGUGAACACAGAGUUCACUUCUAGUUUUACAGCACUCUAAGAAAUAGGUAGUCAGAGAGAUGCUAAGAGAGUAUACUUCACACACACACACACACACACACACACACACACCAAUCAUUACAAAACCAAAAUGGCACCACCCAGGAAAACAAGCGAUGUGACAUAAUGUUCAUAGAACUUCAAGGUUUACAGAAAUAGAAAAAAGAAAUAUUGAGAAAACAAUUCCUAUGGGGAUAAAAUUGCUAAUUGGGUGCUAAUUUGCUACUAAAACAGGUUCAAGAUCCUUGGGAUCCUAGGGUCACAAAGCCCUAAACAACUGGGGCACAUAAGGGCUGCUGGAUUCCUUAUUCUCCACAUCAGUCCCUGGUGAGGCACUUUUAGUGCUCCCCUGAGGCUUAGUCGGGGUCCAUGUCUUUAAUGUGGCAGGUCCUGCCCUGUGGAACUCCCUGCCAAUAGAUGUCCAGCAGGAGUCAUCCUUGCUUUCUUUUAGACUUAUUUUUAAAAACAUACUGUUCAGACAGAAAUUUUGAUUUUGACAUUUUUAACAACAUGUUACUGAAGUUUUUUUAACUAGUCACUCUUGCAUUAUGUUUUUAUGUUGUGUGCUGCCUUGCUAUAUUUCCUAUGAAA
Podarcis lilfordi (Lilford's wall lizard) is the source of this 2660-nucleotide non-coding RNA. Lineage: Eukaryota; Metazoa; Chordata; Lepidosauria; Squamata; Lacertidae. The record is from the annotation of a GenBank genome assembly.